UUGGUCAGACUUUUGACUCGCAAUGUUUUCUCUUCCUAUUUUCUAGAUAACUCUCAUUUUCUUGGUAUUUUCUAGAAGUUUUCUUAAUAUUUUUUUUCUAGGAAAAAAUUCUAUUUUGCUACUUGGGUUGUUACAUUUGCUCAAAUUUUGACUCAGAAGCGGUUGAAAAUCUCCCUCAUUAGCGCUCGGAAAAAUGGUUCUGUACAUAGUUUCCACGAUAUCUUGCUGUGAAGACGUUCAUGAUCGUUUCUCACGCCUGCUCGCUCUUGGUCUGAUAAAAAUUGCAUUCUCACUAUUCUGCCGUAAUCAACGUGCUCAUAAAUAUACUGGCGCGACAUUUUAUGUCGAGAUCUUCCAUAAGAACCAAGAUGUACUAUCGGAGAGACUUUUUGAAUGUCCCGCUACUCCGAAACCGGUCGAUUUCCACUACAUCAACAACUUUCAAAUAUAAUGACGACAUGAUAAAAGGCGUAUGUUCAAUUACAACUCAAUUCCUUCAAAAAACUUAUACGAGGAUGGUCAAUCGAGGCAUGUUUGGAUUGACACUCGUAUUAUUCUACACCGGCUCAAUCUCUCUGACGGGCGCGACAUUUUCCAUCGAAAUUUUCCACAGAAAUGAACAAAGCUUGGAGGAGAAAUUAUUCGAAUGUGAUCUAUGGGAUCGGAAUGGUGGUAGUGUAAGUCAUCCUCACUCGUAAUUUUAGUGAUUGAAAUCGUGUGAAUGGAGAGAUCUUCCAUUAA
This 741-nucleotide long non-coding RNA is filed under the name Bemisia tabaci. Its description in RNAcentral is "lncRNA ENSSSA1UGG000052". The record is from RNAcentral. Lineage: Eukaryota; Metazoa; Arthropoda; Insecta; Hemiptera; Aleyrodidae.